UCCUGGAUUAAAAAAGGAAUUCGUCACCUCUCUAGGACUUGCUGGGGGUGCCACUAUGAAAGACACAGGUCGGGGCAUCCUCAAACGAGCCAUGAGAAAUGAUCUGGCUCUAAAAGUAACCUGGAGUGGUGUAAAUGGAAAGCUGGCCUUUGAAAGGCUUCAUCUAAAAGCGGUGGUAGUGGAAGCUGUGAGAAGAAACCCCGCCUGCUCUUUAGUCACUGAUAAUGAGAUUGCAAAAGCAAUUAAAAAGUGGUUACUGGGCUGGGGAUAGAGACGGCGGGAGGAGGAAGCACCAGGACUUAGCCAGGACCAAGCCAGGACCCAGCCAGAACCCAGCCAGCACCCAGCCAGGAGCGCAUUGAAUGGAAGGAGGCUAUAGUAAUAGAACUGUAUAUAUGUUCUAUGAUAUGUUCUAUAACAUGUUUAUAACUGUUGUCUAUUAUACAACAGUUAAUUUCCUCACUUUGGCACACUUUGAAAAAAAGAUGUUGGAUAGAUGUAAUUUCUCAUUUGUAGCCUGCUUGUUGUGUUUUUUUUGCCUGCAUUCUACUUUUAACUGAUCUUUGUGUGCCUGUCAGACAUUUCCAGGGCCAUAUGCAAUUAAUAAAAAAAAAUGAAAUGA
Long non-coding RNA from Epinephelus moara (kelp grouper), 622 nucleotides. RefSeq lists it as uncharacterized. The transcript has 3 exons. The record is from RefSeq and is a predicted model, not a curated record. NCBI's taxonomy places the organism in Eukaryota, Metazoa, Chordata, Actinopteri, Perciformes, Serranidae.